GUGAGUCUCAGGGGCUGUGCACUCCGACCUUGUCCUUUGCUCUUUGAGGGGGGGCUAGUCAUCGAAUCUAUCAGGGCCUGCCUGAGCCCCAAGCCCUCGCAUCUCAUCAUGCACGGCUGCAACCUUACAGCGCUCCUCACGCAGCCCCCGGUUCAGUGCUCAUGCCUGGGGCCUCCAAGGCGCCUCUCCAGGGAGUCCUUGUACCAGUCCCCUUGGAGCAGCACUGCUGUGACGCUGCAUGGUGGAGGAGUAAAGGUGCCAGUCAUUAAGACUGAAACCACUACAGCAAGUGCAGGCUGGGGGCCUGAGAGGCCUGGCCGUGUGUCAGAGAUUCACAGACACCAGCCAAGGAACAAAGGUCCGGCCUUGGACGGAGCUGGGUUCUUGCUCUUCCCUGGGAAAGUCAUUUGAGACCUCACAGGAAAAAUGAGGGUGGGCUUCCUGGGCCUCCUCACCUUCCUCUUACGCCUGGCCUCACCCAGCAUGCUUACCUGGGGAGGGGGCCUCAUUAGGAAGGUGCCUGCUAAGGUCAGGAUGGAUCUUUCUGGAACUCAGUUGGACCAUCUUCCUUUUACGUGCAGGGUCCACCUGUGUUAUUUCCCCAAGCAGCCCAACGGGUGCAGGUGAAAGGCUGGGGAGCCUCCUCAUCCUCUGAAGCUCCAGAGAGGAGCUACCCAGAGGCAUAAGGCCAGCAACCAUUGACAGGAAGACCAGUCCCCUGCUGGACUCCCAGGGGACCAGGAGCAAGCGUCCAGACACUGGCCCUACCAUGCCCUGCCAGGACCUUGCAGAAGAGAUUGCCCUCUUAGGCAAAGACUUUGUUUUUUCAACCCCUGUUCUGUGAAAGUGUAUCAGGAAUCAUUGGGGUGCAACGUAUGGGGAGGAAAGGCUGACUAGCUGGAGCAUUGAUCUGUUUUCUAUGUUAGGGUUCUAUUUUGGAUAUUAGAAAAAGAAUAAUUUGGCUAGUAAAUAUUUAAGAACUGUUUAGGGGAACCACUAUUCACUUUCCUCUAUCAAUGUUCUUUACCAUGUUGCCUCUUUUUAUUCUCACAAAUACUUCGCGAGGUACAGCACGAUUAUCCCCACUUUUCAGCUAAGUCUCUGUUCUCACAGAGUCUGAGAACCUUGCCUGAGGUCCACAGAAGUCCAUGGCGGCUGGAUUAGAAACUGGCCCUGCUGACUCCAGAGACCUGAUAAGUUCUUAUUGGCUCCCAUCUUCCAACCCUGGUGCACUGGGGAUCAAGUUUCCAACACAGGAACUUGGGGGGGACACACUCAAAUUGUUUACCAUACUCCAUUGUUUAACUUUUCACCUGCAGAGCGACUGUCUUCUCAAGUAGACCAUCUGUUUCUCCUUGGCAGCUGCUCUGUGAAUUGGUGAGGUCCCUGGGAGAGCCUCCUUCUGACCAGCUUUGGGCUGCCCACGCAGAUGCCCCUAGAUAAUGAGGCAGUCUCCCUCUGGUCACCAGAUUGCACACCAGAUUAACAGAUGAUGCUACUGCUUCCCACAACUUGUGAUAAACAACUGACUUUUUGACCCACGCAUACCCAAAAAGAAUGUCAUAUUUUUUUGGUAUCAUCUAAUUUCAUGACAUCAUAAUAUAGCCUCUCCUAACCUAUCAUGAUAUAUCUCUUUGGGUAGGGCCCAUGAGUGGUUCAGUUUCUCCUUUUGAAAUUAGAAAAUCAAUUUUAACCAGAUCAAAGAGGCUUUUUCUUCUUUACUUUCCUAUUGCAUGUUGGCACCAAAAACAGCUCAGUGUAGACAUGGUAGAUAUUUGCUGAGUGGAUGGAUGAAUGUGGGU
RNAcentral lists this long non-coding RNA (1802 nucleotides) under Marmota monax (woodchuck). Lineage: Eukaryota; Metazoa; Chordata; Mammalia; Rodentia; Sciuridae. The record is from RNAcentral.